Molecule: ribosomal RNA, 643 nt
Filed under: uncultured bacterium
Lineage: Bacteria
Description: bacterial SSU rRNA
Rfam family: Bacterial small subunit ribosomal RNA
Source: RNAcentral
GCUAAUACCGCAUAAGCGCACGGUUCCGCAUGGAACAGUGUGAAAAACUCCGGUGGUAUACGAUGGAUCCGCGUCUGAUUAGCCAGUUGGCGGGGUAACGGCCCACCAAAGCGACGAUCAGUAGCCGGCCUGAGAGGGUGAACGGCCACAUUGGGACUGAGACACGGCCCAAACUCCUACGGGAGGCAGCAGUGGGGAAUAUUGCACAAUGGGGGAAACCCUGAUGCAGCGACGCCGCGUGAGUGAAGAAGUAUCUCGGUACGUAAAGCUCUAUCAGCAGGGAAGAAAAUGACGGUACCUGACUAAGAAGCCCCGGCUAACUACGUGCCAGCAGCCGCGGUAAUACGUAGGGGGCAAGCGUUAUCCGGAUUUACUGGGUGUAAAGGGAGCGUAGACGGCAGCGCAAGUCUGGAGUGAAAUGCCGGGGCCCAACCCCGGAACUGCUUUGGAAACUGUGCAGCUCGAGUGCAGGAGAGGUAAGCGGAAUUCCUAGUGUAGCGGUGAAAUGCGUAGAUAUUAGGAGGAACACCAGUGGCGAAGGCGGCUUACUGGACUGUAACUGACGUUGAGGCUCGAAAGCGUGGGGAGCAAACAGGAUUAGAUACCCUGGUAGUCCACGCCGUAAACGAUGAUUACUAGGUGU